This 1146-nucleotide ribosomal RNA is filed under the name marine metagenome. RNAcentral describes it as "bacterial LSU rRNA". It matches the Rfam family "Bacterial large subunit ribosomal RNA", at positions 1216 to 2477 of the family's 2925-position model. The record is from RNAcentral.
CUUUGUAAUUGGGUAGCGGAGCGUUCUGUAAGCCUGUAAAGGUGAUGCGUAAGCAUUGCUGGAGGUAUCAGAAGUGCGAAUGCUGACAUGAGUAACGAUAAGAAAUGUGAAAGACAUUUCCGCCGAAAUCCUAAGGUUUCCUGCGUAAAGCUAAUCUGCGCAGGGUUAGUCGGCCCCUAAGGCGAGGGCGAAAGCCGUAGUCGAUGGGAAGCAGGUUAAUAUUCCUGCACCAGCUGGUAGUGACGGAUGAAGUAAAUUGUAAGUUCUUACUGGAUUGAGCUUGCAGUGAAUUUGUCCCUGGAAAUAGCUCCAGCAUUAGACCGUACCAAAACCGACACAGGUAGGAGGGUAGAGAAUACCAAGGCGCUUGAGAGAACUAUGUUGAAGGAACUCGGCAAAUUACACUUGUAACUUCGGGAUAAAAGUGACCUGCUAUUGGGCAACCAGUAGGAGGUGGCACAGAAGAGGGGGUAGCGACUGUUUACUAAAAACAUAGCACUAUGCAAAGUCGAAAGACGACGUAUAUGGUGUGACGCCUGCCCGGUGCCGGAAGGUUAAUAGGAGGGGUGCAAGCCCUGAAUUGAAGCCCCGGUGAACGGCGGCCGUAACUAUAACGGUCCUAAGGUAGCGAAAUUCCUUGUCGGGUAAGUUCCGACCUGCACGAAUGGCGUAACGAUUUCCCCACUGUCUCCAACAUAGACUCAGUGAAAUUGAAUUCUCGGUUAAGAUGCCGAGUAACCGUGGUUAGACGGAAAGACCCCGUGCACCUUUACUGCAGCUUUGUAUUGGUAUUAGGGAACAGAUGUGUAGCAUAGGUGGGAGACUUUGAAGGAGUGGCGCUAGCCAUUCUGGAGUCACUAGUGAAAUACCACUCUUCUGUUCCUUGAUGCCUAACCAUACACCGUUAUCCGGUGUUGGGACCAUGCAUGGUGGGCAGUUUGACUGGGGCGGUCGCCUCCCAAAGAGUAACGGAGGCGCGCGAUGGUAGGCUCAGAACGCUUGGAAACCGUUCGUCGAGUGCAAUGGCAUAAGCCUGCCUGACUGCGAGACCCACAAGUCGAGCAGAGACGAAAGUCGGUCAUAGUGAUCCGGUGGCACUUCGUGGAAGGGCCAUCGCUCAACGGAUAAAAGGUACGCCGGGGAUAA